AGUGGCGGACGGGUGAGUAACGCGUAAGAAUCUAACUUCAGGACGGGGACAACAGUGGGAAACGACUGCUAAUACCCGAUGUGCCGCGAGGUGAAACCUAAUUGGCCUGAAGAAGAGCUUGCGUCUGAUUAGCUAGUUGGUGGGGUAAGAGCCUACCAAGGCGACGAUCAGUAGCUGGUCUGAGAGGAUGAGCAGCCACACUGGGACUGAGACACGGCCCAGACUCCUACGGGAGGCAGCAGUGGGGAAUUUUCCGCAAUGGGCGAAAGCCUGACGGAGCAACGCCGCGUGAGGGAGGAAGGUCUUUGGAUUGUAAACCUCUUUUCUCAAGGAAGAAGUCCUGACGGUACUUGAGGAAUCAGCCUCGGCUAACUCCGUGCCAGCAGCCGCGGUAAUACGGGGGAGGCAAGCGUUAUCCGGAAUUAUUGGGCGUAAAGCGUCCGCAGGUGGUCAGCCAAGUCUGCCGUCAAAUCAGGUUGCUUAACGACCUAAAGGCGGUGGAAACUGGCAGACUAGAGAGCAGUAGGGGUAGCAGGAAUUCCCAGUGUAGCGGUGAAAUGCGUAGAGAUUGGGAAGAACAUCGGUGGCGAAAGCGUGCUACUGGGCUGUAUCUGACACUCAGGGACGAAAGCUAGGGGAGCGAAAGGGAUUAGAUACCCCUGUAGUCCUAGCCGUAAACGAUGGAUACUAGGCGUGGCUU
Molecule: ribosomal RNA, 700 nt
Filed under: uncultured bacterium
Lineage: Bacteria
Description: bacterial SSU rRNA
Rfam family: Bacterial small subunit ribosomal RNA
Source: RNAcentral